CAGUCUGCUUACCAAGAGGCAUUACUUCACGUGCUGGCAGAUGUAGCAGCCACCUGCAGCCCCCUAACUCCCAGGCAGUUGGGAAGAAUCAUCCAGGAAGGAGCAUGUCAUAGGCCCUUUGCCUGAUCCCUAUCUGUGACUCACAUGCACUGGAGGUCUGAGAACCACCUGAGAACUCACUCCUUCCCAGGACUUCGUACUAGCAUAUAAAGCACAUCUAAGGUCCUAUACAACAGUGACCACAGGACCCCAGAUGCCAGUAGUUCCAUCAGGGUAUGUGUUGCUUAUACAUUUGCUGAAUCCUGGAAGAGAUGGACGAUGAUAAGAAUAAUAUUUCACAG
This is a long non-coding RNA of Molossus molossus (Pallas's mastiff bat), 341 nucleotides long. RefSeq lists it as uncharacterized. The record is from RefSeq and is a predicted model, not a curated record. The transcript is spliced from 3 exons. Lineage: Eukaryota; Metazoa; Chordata; Mammalia; Chiroptera; Molossidae.